Loxodonta africana (African savanna elephant) is the source of this 58-nucleotide transfer RNA. It matches the Rfam family "tRNA", at positions 8 to 63 of the family's 71-position model. From Rfam's summary of the family: Transfer RNA (tRNA) molecules are approximately 80 nucleotides in length. Their secondary structure includes four short double-helical elements and three loops (D, anti-codon, and T loops). Lineage: Eukaryota; Metazoa; Chordata; Mammalia; Proboscidea; Elephantidae. The record is from Rfam.
UGGCAUAGUGGUUAAGUGCUAUGGCUGCUAACCAAAAGGUUGGCAGUUCGAAUCUGCC